AUGGGGGCAGCAGCUGAUAAGCAUUACACAAAGAAAAUGAAAGCUCUCAAGUCCAAGAAAGCACAGGUUGUAGAACAGCGGGCAGAUCCUUCCUGCAAAAUAUGGUACAUCUGCAAAGGAACGCUUGUUUACCGUAGGAAGGCGGUUCCCCUUAGCCAUGGGGCAAUGCCGCAAGGUGCACAAAAGCCUGAUGCUCAACAGUUUUCAGUGGAUAGAUCAACUAGCUUGUCAGAUAUGUGGUGUGUUUCAAAUACAUGGCUACACAAACCAAAUCUCAGACGAUCCGACGGUAAUGAAAAGGAAACUGUUAACGAAUUUGACGAGGCUGAUAACAAAUUCCAGCAUAUGCUCCAGGAGUUGGAGAGUGUAAGAAAACAAGCUUACGAAGACAACUGCAGUCGUGAAAAGGCAGAAAGGGAGUUGUUUGAGGCUUUCCAGAAAGCACGAGCCUCUGAGAGUAUGUACUUCGGAGAAGUGAAGCAAAAGAAUCAAAUAGAGGAUAAGUUGAAAACAACACUGGAGGAAGUUGAAAGACUCACAGAAACAACUAAUGAACUUUGUGCAAAGCUUCAAGAUGAACGCAAGAAAAGAUUAGCCAUGGAGAAAACAACUUCCCAUUCAGACCGUAUUAUCAAGGAUUUGAUGUUGCAGCGUGACAAGGCAGUAAGAGAGGUAGAAGCACUACAUGCAAAGAAAGGAGAGUCUAGUGGAACCUCGGAGGGGACAAUGCACAUCACGGAGUUGUCCUGCUCGGAGAUUAACGGAGCAACCAACAACUUUGACCACUCACUGAAGGUUGGAGAAAGUGUUUAUGGAAGUGUGUACAAGGGCUUUCUUCGGCACACAAAUGUAGCUGUAAAGAAGUUGAAUCCUGAAAGCACACAGUCACAGUCGCAGUUCAAUCAAGAGAUAGAGAUUCUCAGCAGGGUUCGACAUCCAAACCUGGUGACUCUUAUAGGAGCUUGCAAGGACGCUCAAGCUCUUGUCUACGAAUACAUGCCCAAUGGAAGCUUGGAUGACCGCCUGGCUUGCAAAGACAAUUCUAAACCUCUCAGUUGGCAGUUGCGCACCCGCAUCAUUUCUGAUGUUUGCUCCGCGCUCAUCUUUCUCCAUUCUAAUAAACCCCAUAGCAUUGUCCACAGUGACCUUAAAGCAUUGAACAUUCUUCUUGAUGGAAACAAUGUAGCAAAGCUCAGUGGUUUUGGCGUGUGCCGAAUGUUCACUGAUGAGUUCAGGGGCAGAACCACUCUAUAUAAGCAUACCCACCCAAAGGGGUCUUUUGUGUACAUUGAUCCUGAAUAUGUUAUGACUGGUGACCUGACCCCCCUAUCUGAUGUAUACUCUUUCGGAAUCGUGCUACUGCGCCUUUUGACUGGAAGACCAGGAUUCGGGCUGUUGAAAGAUGUGCAACGGGCAGUGGAAAAGGGUUGCCUGGAAGCAAUUUUGGAUUCAUCUGCUGGGGGCUGGCCAGCUAUGCAGGCUGAGCAAUUGGCUCGGGUAGGUCUGAAAUGUUGUGAAAUCAGAAGAAAAAACCGCCCUGACCUGCAACCGGAGGUUUGGACUGUACUUGAACCAAUGUUGAAGUCUAGUUCCAUCAUUUUGUGUUCCUUAUCAUUUAAAUCAGUAUCCGAAGACCUUGGAGGUGUGCCGCCCUACUUCAUCUGUCCAAUACUACAGGAUAUCAUGAGGGAGCCUCUAAUUGCUGCAGAUGGUUUUACCUAUGAAGCCGAAGCUAUAAGGGAGUGA
This 1746-nucleotide ribosomal RNA is filed under the name Triticum aestivum (bread wheat). RNAcentral describes it as "partial small subunit ribosomal RNA". The record is from RNAcentral. Lineage: Eukaryota; Viridiplantae; Streptophyta; Magnoliopsida; Poales; Poaceae.